Oncorhynchus kisutch (coho salmon) is the source of this 675-nucleotide long non-coding RNA. RefSeq lists it as uncharacterized. NCBI's taxonomy places the organism in Eukaryota, Metazoa, Chordata, Actinopteri, Salmoniformes, Salmonidae. The transcript has 2 exons. The record is from RefSeq and is a predicted model, not a curated record.
UCUGUGUGAGUCUAUUUAAUGGGCCUAAAUAAGACAUCCGGACCGGGGCCAGACUCUGGCACGCUGGGCUGGCCUGGUCAGUAGUGAGGCUGGGUCUGAUUCCCUUCAUUACUUCAAACCUUCAUAGUGCACUACCUAGGAACUAAUCUGGUGUGGGACCACUCACAUCCAGUCUCUUUUUUCAAAGAUGAAUGCAGAACACAGAGAGAGAGAGAGAGAAGUGCGUUGGACCAGACACCCCUGCUCAUAUCUUGUCUCAAAGGGAUCUGUACGAACGAGCGAGAGAGAGAGGGAGAGCGAGGCAGAGAGAGGAAAAGAGAGGGAGGAGGAAAAAACACUGGGUGCAGGACCCACACGCUGUAGUUCCAGCCAAUUGCAUUUCAGAGAAGUGACCAUGGCUAGCGAUAAACAAAGCACAAUAGAUCAUUUCUCUCAGAGCUGGAGCCCAGCGCUGGAGGCUGCGGAAGGAAGGACAGAGAGAGGGAAAGAGAGAGAGCACAAUCUAUGCACCGGCUUGGGCUAUUCUCCAACACUCAAUUCUUUAAGCCUUUUUUCUUUUUGAAUGCUAUUAAGCCAGCCGUGUUGCAUGACUGCUGCACUUUGCACAUGAAGAGAGACAGAGAGAGAAGGAGAAUAUCACUCACCCGUUUCACUGAGACAGGAGCCGUGCAGCCA